UGCUGUGAUGAUAUAAGCUUGUUCUUAUCCAGUGUUCAGUGAUAGCUGCCUGCUAUCAGCAUGCUGGUGCUUUUGAACUGAAGACACUUGACCCUGAGCA
This is a small nucleolar RNA of Chelonoidis abingdonii (Abingdon island giant tortoise), 100 nucleotides long. Its record names the gene SNORD16. It matches the Rfam family "Small nucleolar RNA SNORD16". From Rfam's summary of the family: U16 is a member of the C/D class of snoRNA which contain the C (UGAUGA) and D (CUGA) box motifs. U81 acts as a guanine methylation guide and is found in an intron of ribosomal proteins L1 gene in animals. This snoRNA was independently named MBII-98 in mouse. The record is from Ensembl. Lineage: Eukaryota; Metazoa; Chordata; Testudines; Testudinidae.